GGGCCCGCACAAGCAGUGGAGUAUGUGGUUUAAUUCGACGCAACGCGAAGAACCUUACCAGGUCUUGACAUCGAGUGACAGUCUAAGAGAUUAGGCCUUCCCUUCGGGGACACAAAGACAGGUGGUGCAUGGUUGUCGUCAGCUCGUGUCGUGAGAUGUUGGGUUAAGUCCCGCAACGAGCGCAACCCUUAUCAUUAGUUGCUACGCAAGAGCACUCUAAUGAGACUGCCGUUGACAAAACGGAGGAAGGUGGGGAUGACGUCAAAUCAUCAUGCCCUUUAUGACCUGGGCUACACACGUACUACAAUGGCGUUUAACAAAGAGAAGCAAAGCCGCGAGGCAGAGCAAAUCUCCAAAAAACGUCUCAGUUCGGAUUGUAGGCUGCAACUCGCCUACAUGAAGUCGGAAUUGCUAGUAAUCGUAGGUCAGCAUACUACGGUGAAUACGUUCCCGGGCCUU
This 459-nucleotide ribosomal RNA is filed under the name uncultured bacterium. Its description in RNAcentral is "bacterial SSU rRNA". It matches the Rfam family "Bacterial small subunit ribosomal RNA", at positions 917 to 1382 of the family's 1533-position model. The record is from RNAcentral.